This 495-nucleotide ribosomal RNA is filed under the name uncultured bacterium. RNAcentral describes it as "partial 16S ribosomal RNA". It matches the Rfam family "Bacterial small subunit ribosomal RNA", at positions 28 to 507 of the family's 1533-position model. The record is from RNAcentral.
GACGAACGCUGGCGGCGUGCCUAAUACAUGCAAGUAGAACGCUGAAGGAGGAGCUUGCUUCUCUGGAUGAGUUGCGAACGGGUGAGUAACGCGUAGGUAACCUGCCUGGUAGCGGGGGAUAACUAUUGGAAACGAUAGCUAAUACCGCAUAAGAGUAGAUGUUGCAUGACAUUUGCUUAAAAGGUGCAAUUGCAUCACUACCAGAUGGACCUGCGUUGUAUUAGCUAGUUGGUGGGGUAACGGCUCACCAAGGCGACGAUACAUAGCCGACCUGAGAGGGUGAUCGGCCACACUGGGACUGAGACACGGCCCAGACUCCUACGGGAGGCAGCAGUAGGGAAUCUUCGGCAAUGGACGGAAGGCUGACCGAGUAACGCCGCGUGAGUGAAGAAGGUUUUCGGAUCGUAAAGCUCUGUUGUAAGAGAAGAACGAGUGUGAGAGUGGAAAGUUCACACUGUGACGGUAUCUUACCAGAAAGGGACGGCUAACUACGUG